Octopus sinensis (East Asian common octopus) is the source of this 304-nucleotide long non-coding RNA. RefSeq lists it as uncharacterized. NCBI's taxonomy places the organism in Eukaryota, Metazoa, Mollusca, Cephalopoda, Octopoda, Octopodidae. The transcript has 3 exons. The record is from RefSeq and is a predicted model, not a curated record.
AUGUGGAGCUUUGGUGGUGUUGGUGUCGCUGGUGGUGUCCGACAAGUUUACUGCAGCCAGAAAUAUUUGUAUAAAACUUACCAAAUUGGAAAUCUCACCAAAACUGAACUGUAAAGACAUAGUAGACGAUACAAAUAAUACAAGGAAUUCAAACAAGACGUGCGUCUUUCAUUCUCAGAUUCAUAUCUCAAACAAUCACUCGAAUACAUCAAUAGAAGAAAGAUAUAAUGAAAAUUUACAUUUCAACAACAAGAAAAACAGUUUCUCAUCAAGAAAUUUGGGCCAUCUGAUGAGAAACUUCCGG